GUGCGAUUGUCUGGAUCAAUUUUAUUAUGAAGAUUAUCACUGCUACAAAAAACCUAUAGGGAUCGGCGAUGCGUGUCUUAGUCAAAUAGCAUGUAA
Molecule: long non-coding RNA, 96 nt
Organism: Cotesia glomerata
Lineage: Eukaryota; Metazoa; Arthropoda; Insecta; Hymenoptera; Braconidae
Exons: 2
Source: RefSeq, a predicted model, not a curated record